AUUGAACGCUGGCGGCAUGCCUUACACAUGCAAGUCGAACGGCAGCACGGGGGCAACCCCUGGUGGCGAGUGGCGGACGGGUGAGUAAUGCAUCGGAACGUGCCCUGAAGUGGGGGAUAACGCAGCGAAAGCUACGCUAAUACCGCAUAUUCUGUGAGCAGGAAAGCAGGGGAUCGCAAGACCUUGCGCUUUGGGAGCGGCCGAUGUCGGAUUAGCUAGUUGGUGGGUAAAGGCCUACCAAGGCGACGAUCCGUAGCGGGUCUGAGAGGAUGAUCCGCCACACCUGGGACUGAGACACGGCCCAGACUCCUACGGGAGGCAGCAGUGGGGAAUUUUGGACAAUGGGCGAAAGCCUGAUCCAGCCAUGCCGCGUGAGUGAAGAAGGCCCUUCGGGGUUUCGGUUAAAGGACGUCCGUUUUUCCGGUUC
This 427-nucleotide ribosomal RNA is filed under the name uncultured bacterium. Its description in RNAcentral is "bacterial SSU rRNA". It matches the Rfam family "Bacterial small subunit ribosomal RNA", at positions 30 to 447 of the family's 1533-position model. The record is from RNAcentral.